CACCACUGACGCUGAGGAGCGAAAGCGUGGGGAGCGAACAGGAUUAGAUACCCUGGUAGUCCACGCCGUAAACGGUGGGCGCUAGAUGUGGGGACCCUUCCAUGGUUUCUGCGUCGCAGCUAACGCAUUAAGCGCCCCGCCUGGGGAGUACGGUCGCAAGACUAAAACUCAAAGGAAUUGACGGGGGCCCGCACAAGCAGCGGAGCAUGCGGCUUAAUUCGAUGCAACGCGAAGAACCUUACCUAGACUUGACAUAUACGGAAAACAUGCAGAGAUGUAUGGUCCUAACGGGCCGUUUACAGGUGGUGCAUGGUUGUCGUCAGCUCGUGUCGUGAGAUGUUGGGUUAAGUCCCGCAACGAGCGCAACCCUCGUUCUAUGUUGCCAGCACGUAAUGGUGGGGACUCAUAGGAGACUGCCGGGGUCAACUCGGAGGAAGGUGGGGAUGACGUCAAAUCAUCAUGCCCCUUAUGUCUAGGGCUGCACGCAUGCUACAAUGGCUGGUACAAAGGGCUGCGAUACCGCAAGGUGGAGCGAAUCCCAAAAAGCCAGUCUCAGUUCGGAUUGGGGUCUGCAACUCGACCCCAUGAAGUUGGAGUUGCUAGUAAUCGCAGAUCAGCAACGCCGCGGUGAAUACGUUCCCGGGCCUUGUACACACCGCCCGUCACGUCACGAAAGUCGGUAACACCCGAAGCC
This 694-nucleotide ribosomal RNA is filed under the name uncultured Actinomycetes bacterium. RNAcentral's name for it is "bacterial SSU rRNA". It matches the Rfam family "Bacterial small subunit ribosomal RNA", at positions 735 to 1428 of the family's 1533-position model. The record is from RNAcentral. Lineage: Bacteria; Bacillati; Actinomycetota; Actinomycetes.